This is a regulatory RNA element of Rhizobium sp. Leaf306, 157 nucleotides long. It matches the Rfam family "ALIL pseudoknot". NCBI's taxonomy places the organism in Bacteria, Pseudomonadati, Pseudomonadota, Alphaproteobacteria, Hyphomicrobiales, Rhizobiaceae. The record is from Rfam.
UGCAUAUUUCGCCAUGGCCCCUAACGGUGAAUGCGAGCAUUCACCUACCGGGUAAGAGGAAGCUCGACCGCCCCUUCAAGCGAUGAUCUCCUUCAUCGACGAACACCGUAGCGUGUUCGGGGUCGAGCCGAUCUGCAAGCUGCUGCCGAUUGCCCCA